RNAcentral lists this ribosomal RNA (253 nucleotides) under uncultured bacterium. RNAcentral describes it as "partial 16S ribosomal RNA". It matches the Rfam family "Bacterial small subunit ribosomal RNA", at positions 524 to 776 of the family's 1533-position model. The record is from RNAcentral.
GACAGAGGUGCCGAGCGUUAGGCGGAAUCACUGGGCUUAAAGCGUGUGUAGGCGGACGGGUAAGUACCUUGUGAAAUCCCACGGCUCAACCGUGGAACUGCUGGGUAUACUGCCUGUCUUGAGUCAUCUAGGGGCGAGCGGAACAAAUGGUGGAGCGGUGAAAUGCGUAGAUAUCAUUUGGAACGCCAACGGUGAAAACGGCUCGCUGGGGAUGUACUGACGCUGAGACACGAAAGCCAGGGGAGCAAACGGG